Molecule: ribosomal RNA, 444 nt
Filed under: uncultured bacterium
Lineage: Bacteria
Description: bacterial SSU rRNA
Rfam family: Bacterial small subunit ribosomal RNA
Source: RNAcentral
CUACGGGAGGCAGCAGUGGGGAAUAUUGGGCAAUGGGGGAAACCCUGACCCAGCAACGCCGCGUAAAGGAAGAAGGUCUUCGGAUUGUAAACUUUUGUCCCAUGGGAAGAAAAAAAUGACGGUACCAUGGGAGGAAGCCCCGGCUAACUACGUGCCAGCAGCCGCGGUAAUACGUAGGGGGCGAGCGUUGUCCGGAAUUACUGGGCGUAAAGGGUGCGCAGGCGGCUUGUCAAGUCAUAUGUGAAAUACCCAGGCUUAACUUGGGGGGUGCAUAUGAAACUGGCGAGCUUGAGUGCAGGAGAGGGGAGCGGAAUUCCUAGUGUAGCGGUGAAAUGCGUAGAUAUUAGGAGGAACACCAGUGGCGAAGGCGGCUCUCUGGACUGCAACUGACGCUGAGGCACGAAAGCGUGGGGAGCAAACAGGAUUAGAUACCCGGGUAGUCCC